CUGCUGCCUCCCGUAGGAGUUUGGGCCGUGUCUCAGUCCCAAUGUGGCCGGUCGCCCUCUCAGGCCGGCUACUGAUCGUCGCCUUGGUGAGCCGUUACCCCACCAACAAGCUAAUCAGACGCGGGUCCAUCCUAUACCACCUCAGUUUUUCACACCGAACCAUGCGGUUUUAGUGCGCUUAUGCGGUAUUAGCAGUCAUUUCUAACUGUUAUCCCCCUGUAUAGGGCAGGUUACCCACGCGUUACUCACCCGUCCGCCA
This 259-nucleotide ribosomal RNA is filed under the name uncultured bacterium. Its description in RNAcentral is "partial 16S ribosomal RNA". The record is from RNAcentral.